Molecule: non-coding RNA, 202 nt
Filed under: Nitrospirota bacterium
Lineage: Bacteria; Pseudomonadati; Nitrospirota
Source: RNAcentral
AACACUAUAAAUAGUUCGGGUGCUAAAAAGGCUUAAUAGGGAAUCCUGUUAAAUUCAGGAGCGGUCCCGCCGCUGUAAUCCCGAUUCCGAUUGUUUGAUUGGAAUUAAAGCCUUUGCCGGUAAUAUGCCACUGUUCAAUUGGAAUGGGAAGGCUGGCAAAGGUCGGGAGAGCCAGAAGACCUGCCUGUGAACGAAUAGUGAU